UACGUAGGGUGCGAGCGUUGUCCGGAAUUACUGGGCGUAAAGAGCUCGUAGGUGGUUUGUCGCGUUGUUCGUGAAAACUCACAGCUUAACUGUGGGCGUGCGGGCGAUACGGGCGGACUCGAGUUCGGCAGGGGAGACUGGAAUUCCUGGUGUAGCGGUGAAAUGCGCAGAUAUCAGGAGGAACACCGGUGGCGAAGGCGGGUCUCUGGGCCGAUACUGACGCUGAGGAGCGAAAGCGUGGGGAGCGAACAGG
Molecule: ribosomal RNA, 253 nt
Filed under: uncultured bacterium
Lineage: Bacteria
Description: partial 16S ribosomal RNA
Rfam family: Bacterial small subunit ribosomal RNA
Source: RNAcentral